CUGCCGGUGGGUGCGUGCGGGUGUCUCGGUGAGCGUGCGGGUGCGCGAGAGUGUGCGCCCUGCGUGCGCUACAUGCCCCUGAGCAGCGCGGGAGGAGAGUCCUAGAGAUUGUGCCGCCCGGAAACCUCCCGACCUGCAAGCGAGAAAAUUGGGAGGCCCGCGGAGGGCGCGAGAGUGCGGACGGACCUGGGCGCCCGACUCAACCGCCGUGGGCUGCUGCGCUUGGCCGCUGCCGCGUCCUGGCUCCUUGGUUCCACGCUCUGGCAGCUUCCCGGCUGGACACGUGGGUUUUACGACAGCACAAAAUAGAUUUUCUGAACCUGGGAAACGUGCUGUUCAGACUUCAUCCGGGUCUCAUUCAGGAUGCUUCGAUGUUGGUUGGAAGAGAGUUAGACCGAAAAUGUUUUGACUGGCGUCGUUAUGACAAGGUCAUCCGUCAUUGUUGGAUAGAUUGAUAGCACCCAAGUUUAAGGCAGACACCACGAGGGAAAGCCCACGGCGCUGUGGUCCCGGAGGCUAACCAGGCAGUGUCCGCAGACCUCCAGCAACUCCAUCGGGAGGAGAGGAUGAAGUUCCAGGCCCGUUUCAAUUAAUCUGCUCGCAGAACUGCCGAAGAGUGGCUUGUCGGGCCACGGGAGAAGAAACAAAUGCUCUUUCUCACACUCUCCUGGUUCAUUGCUGAGAAACCAGGACACUCCUCUGUUCCCUGGGAGAGACAGUGAACUCCAGGGAUGGAAGUCCGGACUCCGGCGGCGGUCCCGUCAUUUGCCUUCUUGUUUCUGCCCAAACCCAGCUAGUUCCAAGCGCUUGGUCCCCAAGACUGGAAGUCCCCAAGAACCUACCUCUACCUGUCCCAACCCUGCCUCCCCCCUACCCUUUCACCCCCUGCCACCAUUAGAAAGUCUCUGGAUUUUGAAAUGCUAGUUGCAGCAGCUGCUUCCGUGGCCUCAUGCCGCCCACACUCUGGGAAGCGGAGGAGGGAGGGUUCCUCUCGUAAUAAGAUUAGCUGACCUGUUAAUGAGAGUUUUGGACGUGCCGGGCGGGGGUAGGCGCUUUAUGUCCAUUUAAUCCACCUACAUGCGGAGAAGGCAUUAUCAUUAACCCCCAUAUUGUAGAUGGGGACCGCUGAGGUUCGGAAAGUUUAGAUGGGUUGCCUAAGGUCACGCCAUUAAUGAGUAAUGGAGACGGAUUCAAAUACCGUUCGGUAAGGUGCCAAGUGCAUCUUCUGCCUACCCUAGUCCAACCUGUAGCCACUCGGUCCAGACUGACGCCAGAGGGGCUAUCAUGGGAGAGAUUUGGUUCCCCUCGCUGCGGGGUCCAGGGAAGAAGCUGAGAAGGUAGCAAAGUCCCCCUCGCCCACUACGUCUACAGGUGGCGUACCUGGGUAAUCCGAUUCAAGCUUCCGCCACACCCACCCCGGGCACAAGUCGAUCCCGAGGCUUACGGGACCCUAAGGCCCAGAGGCUACAGGAACCUCCCGUGAAGGGGGCAGGAGAAAGUUUGAGGGAGAGCCCUGAAGGUCCGGGAGCGAACGAAAAAGUCUGGAAGGGAAUAGACCAGGAGUCAGGACCUCCCCUGCACCUCCCCAGCAGGCCCACUGCGCCGAGCGGGGCCCCUGCCUCCACCGCGGCUUCCGGGAUGCCCGCAGAGCUCGGCAUCCUCACCCGGUGCGCACAAGGGCGCGCAGCGGCGUAAGCUGGACCCCCGACGCUGCGCGCGCUCUGAGGGGCGCUUCCCCCUCACACAGUUGACCCUGGGCCCGCUUGGUCACGGCCACCCUGGCGCAUCUCAAUAGUUUUUAGAAAGUGAGCCCACCGACGGCAAGGACAUGCACCCCCUCAAAUCCGCUUCCCCCACCCCCUUCAAUACUGAGAAGACCACGGAAACAAAUCACUUCGACCACUUAGAAAGCGAUCAAACCUUUAUAAAAAUCCAUCGCUCCCAAAUCGAUGGGUGAAUAUUUGCUGGGAAUUUGUUCCAGAGGAAUAAAUGAGGAGCCUUGAGUGUAUUAAAUGCAAACGGGGGGACACGGUGGUGUUUUUCUUCAUUGAUUAAUGACCUCUAAAAUAAAACAAGUGGGAAGAGGAGCCAGGAUCGAUAAAUUACCCAAAUUCAUCAUUUUCUCGAGCAUUUUCGCCCCGAAAAUUAUCCUUGGGAAGCCCAUUGUACCCUGAGCUGGGAGGGGAAGGAUGUAGCUGGAGGCCAGGGUAGGGAGGGAGCAGCAGAAGGGGUAGGAGGAGAGAAGGGGGUUCUGUCCAGGAGACCCUCUAUCUGAUUCCGUUUAACAUACAAUUCAAAAGUUUGCCUUUCAUAUUAUUUUUUCUUGAUGGGGGAGUGGAACAAAUGGUCGGUUGCCUUUGACAGGACUCCAAUAAAGGAUUCAGCAGCUCUCCGCUCUGCCCUGGGUGCUCCUGCUUCUAGUAGGUUUAAGGUCACGGGUGGCUGAGUUAAUAAUUCAUUAAUAUAGACAUUUAUUCAGAAGGGUUCGCUGAGAUCCACUCUUCCUGCCUCCUCCCAGAGAUUUGUUUUCCUAGGAAAUGGAUGGGGGUGGGGGGUGGGCUGCAGGUGAAAGGAGGGGGGCGGGAGGAGAAGGAAAGGCUGGAUGUAGCUAGGAGGAAUCUUUGCUGAGCCGUAUUAGCAGACAGGUCCCUUGAGCCUGCCAGCAAAAACU
This 2671-nucleotide long non-coding RNA is filed under the name Homo sapiens (human). RNAcentral's name for it is "PREDICTED lncRNA (TCONS_00219493)". The record is from RNAcentral. Lineage: Eukaryota; Metazoa; Chordata; Mammalia; Primates; Hominidae.